AUUUGUGGCCCGUCUAUAUGAUCGUGCAUCAUAAUUUAGCAAAUGUGAAGGGAAAACGGAUUUGCAAACUGUACAAUUUGCAAGUUUCCUACUCAUCCAAUUAUUGCUGCUCGUUGGAUCGAAAAAAUUAGACUCAACCGUAAUGCCAAGUGUUGGAAGCCUGGUAAAAGUACCAAAAUAUGUUCUAUUCACUUCGACGACAAAGAAAAGUAUAGUACUAAAGGUGGCUUGUGCAAAUUAACUCGAGGCGCUGUUCCAAAUAAGGUUCUGCCCAUUUUUUAUUUGGAAGACGAAGUUUAUAGCGAUGAGAUACGCGAUCACCACGAUCUUCAACUACCGCAACCGGUUAGUUUUCAACGAUGCACGAACGAUGAAAAAGUGUUA
Molecule: long non-coding RNA, 384 nt
Organism: Hyposmocoma kahamanoa
Lineage: Eukaryota; Metazoa; Arthropoda; Insecta; Lepidoptera; Cosmopterigidae
Exons: 3
Source: RefSeq, a predicted model, not a curated record